AGCAUAUUACUAAGGGGAGGAAAAGAAACUAACAAGGAUUCCCCCAGUAACGGCGAGUGAAGCGGGAAGAGCUCAAAUUUAAAAUCCAGUAGUCUAACAGCCACUGGAGUUGUAAUCUAGAGAGGCUCUCUCAGUGCCAGCCUGGUUAUAAGUCCCUUGAAACGGGGCAUCAAAGAGGGUGAGAAUCCCGUAUUUGAGCCGGAGCUAAGUACGUACGAGGAGCUUUCUAAGAGUCGCGUUGCUUGGGAGUGCAGCGCUAAAUGGGUGGUAAAGUUCAUCUAAAGCUAAAUACUGGCGAGAGACCGAUAGCGAACAAGUACCGUGAGGGAAAGAUGAAAAGAACUUUGAAAAGAGAGUUAAAAAGUACUUGAAAUUGUUAACAGGGAAGGGGAGUCAACCAGUCAUUCCUAAGCUUCAUUCGCUCUUCCUUCGGGGGGGGUUACUUGAGGCUAAGGAGAGUCGGCAUCAUCUAGUUUCUUCGGAGAAACUGUGUAAGUUGGUGCCCAUCUUCGGUUGGGUUUAGCUUAUGCAGCCUACGUUGGAGCUGGAUGAGGAUUCGAAAACCCGCCGCCUUCGGGUGUCGGUACUCUGGAGCCUGUCUGCCCUAGCGCGUGAGAGAACAAAGUUCUGUCUGUGCAAAAGGUGAAUACUGCUUUAGAUGUACUAGGUGCUGGGUUCGCGAUGCAGACGAAAUGGUUGUCUUCCACCCGUCU
Molecule: ribosomal RNA, 713 nt
Filed under: uncultured fungus
Lineage: Eukaryota; Fungi
Description: eukaryotic LSU rRNA
Rfam family: Eukaryotic large subunit ribosomal RNA
Source: RNAcentral